RNAcentral lists this ribosomal RNA (496 nucleotides) under uncultured bacterium. RNAcentral's name for it is "partial 16S ribosomal RNA". It matches the Rfam family "Bacterial small subunit ribosomal RNA", at positions 29 to 507 of the family's 1533-position model. The record is from RNAcentral.
AUGAACGCUGGCGGCGUGCCUCAUACAUGCAAGUCGAGCGAACAGACGAGGAGCUUGCUCCUCUGACGUUAGCGGCGGACGGGUGAGUAACACGUGGAUAACCUACCUAUAAGACUGGGAUAACUUCGGGAAACCGGAGCUAAUACCGGAUAAUAUAUUGAACCGCAUGGUUCAAUAGUGAAAGACGGUUUUGCUGUCACUUAUAGAUGGAUCCGCGCCGCAUUAGCUAGUUGGUAAGGUAACGGCUUACCAAGGCAACGAUGCGUAGCCGACCCGAGAGGGUGAUCGGCCACACUGGAACUGAGACACGGUCCAGACUCCUACGGGAGGCAGCAGUAGGGAAUCUUCCGCAAUGGGCGAAAGCCUGACGGAGCAACGCCGCGUGAGUGAUGAAGGUCUUCGGAUCGUAAAACUCUGUUAUUAGGGAAGAACAAAUGUGUAAGUAACUAUGCACGUCUUGACGGUACCUAAUCAGAAAGCCACGGCUAACUACGUG